GGCUCCAUGGUCAAGCGGUUAAGACGUUGCCCUCUCAAGGCAAAGUCAGGGGUUCGAUUCCCCUUGGAGCUACCA
This 75-nucleotide transfer RNA is filed under the name Clostridia bacterium. RNAcentral describes it as "tRNA-Glu". It matches the Rfam family "tRNA". From Rfam's summary of the family: Transfer RNA (tRNA) molecules are approximately 80 nucleotides in length. Their secondary structure includes four short double-helical elements and three loops (D, anti-codon, and T loops). The record is from RNAcentral. Lineage: Bacteria; Bacillati; Bacillota; Clostridia.